This 294-nucleotide ribosomal RNA is filed under the name uncultured bacterium. RNAcentral's name for it is "partial 16S ribosomal RNA". It matches the Rfam family "Bacterial small subunit ribosomal RNA", at positions 336 to 628 of the family's 1533-position model. The record is from RNAcentral.
CGCCUACGGGAGGCAGCAGUGGGGAAUAUUGCACAAUGGGCGAAAGCCUGAUGCAGCAACGCCGCGUGAAGGAAGACGGUUUUCGGAUUGUAAACCUCUUUUGCCGGGGAGCAAGCGUGCGUUCGUGAACGCGCGUCGAGAGUACCCAGAGAAAAAGCAUCGGCUAACUCCGUGCCAGCAGCCGCGGUAAUACGGAGGAUGCGAGCGUUAUCCGGAUUUAUUGGGUUUAAAGGGUGCGUAGGCGGGAUGCCAAGUCAGCGGUAAAAAUGCGGUGCUCAACGCCGUCGAGCCGUU